This 253-nucleotide ribosomal RNA is filed under the name uncultured bacterium. RNAcentral's name for it is "partial 16S ribosomal RNA". It matches the Rfam family "Bacterial small subunit ribosomal RNA", at positions 524 to 776 of the family's 1533-position model. The record is from RNAcentral.
UACGUAGGUGGAAAGCGUUGUCCGGAAUUAUUGGGCGUAAAGCGCGCGCAGGUGGUUUCUUAAGUCUGAUGUGAAAGCCCACGGCUCAACCGUGGAGGGUCAUUGGAAACUGGGGAACUUGAGUGCAGAAGAGGAAAGUGGAAUUCCAAGUGUAGCGGUGAAAUGCGUAGAGAUUUGGAGGAACACCAGUGGCGAAGGCGACUUUCUGGUCUGUAACUGACACUGAGGCGCGAAAGCGUGGGGAGCGAACAGG